Molecule: ribosomal RNA, 245 nt
Filed under: uncultured bacterium
Lineage: Bacteria
Description: partial 16S ribosomal RNA
Rfam family: Bacterial small subunit ribosomal RNA
Source: RNAcentral
UACGGAGGAUCCGAGCGUUAUCCGGAUUUAUUGGGUUUAAAGGGUGCGUAGGCGGAUUAAUAAGUCAGUUGUGAAAGUUUGCGGCUCAACCGUAAAAUUGCAGUUGAUACUGUUAAUCUUGAGUGUACAUAAGGUAGGCGGAAUUCGUGGUGUAGCGGUGAAAUGCUUAGAUAUCACGAAGAACUCCGAUUGCGAAGGCAGCUUACCGGGGUACAACUGACGCUGAGGCACGAAAGUGUGGGUAU